RNAcentral lists this ribosomal RNA (253 nucleotides) under uncultured bacterium. Its description in RNAcentral is "partial 16S ribosomal RNA". It matches the Rfam family "Bacterial small subunit ribosomal RNA", at positions 524 to 776 of the family's 1533-position model. The record is from RNAcentral.
UACGUAGGCAGCAAGCGUUGUUCGGAAUUACUAGGCGUAAAGAGUGUGUAGGCGGCGCUCUAAGUUUGGUGUGAAAUCUCCCGGCUCAACUGGGAGGGUGCGCCGAAAACUGGAAUGCUUGAACGUGGGAGAGGAAAGCGGAAUUCCUGGUGUAGCGGUGAAAUGCGUAGAUAUCAGGAGGAACACCUGCGGUGUAGACGGCUUUCUGGACCAUUGUUGACGCUGAGACACGAAAGCGUGGGUAGCAAACAGG